AUUGAACGCUGGCGGCAGGCCUAACACAUGCAAGUCGAACGCGUGGCAGGCGGGUGAGUAAUCUCGGGGAACCUGCCUGGUAGAGGGGGAUAACUUCUGAAAAGGAUCGCUAACCCCGCAUAAUCUCAUAUGACCCCAUAUGGGUUGAGCUUGUAGGUGGGGUAAAGGCUCACCUAGGCGACGAUCCAUAGCUGGUCUGAGAGGGUGACCAGCCACACUGGAACUGAGACACGGUCCAGACGCCUCCGGGAGGCAGAAGUGGGGAAUAUUGCACAAUGGGCGCAAGCCUGAUGCAGCCAUGCCGCGUGUAUGAAGAAGGCCUUCGGGUUGUAAAGUACUUUCAGCGGGGAGGCGUUACCCGCAGAAGAAGCACCGGCUAACUCCGUGCCAGCCGCCGCGGUAAUUC
Molecule: ribosomal RNA, 406 nt
Filed under: uncultured bacterium
Lineage: Bacteria
Description: partial 16S ribosomal RNA
Rfam family: Bacterial small subunit ribosomal RNA
Source: RNAcentral